UUCCUCCGGGGCGCAGCAGUGGGGAAUAUUGCACAAUGGGCGCAAGCCUGAUGCAGCGACGCCGCGUGCGGGCUGGCUGCCUUCGGGUUGUCCCCCGCUUUUGUUCCCGGGCCCUGCCCGGUCUUUGGCCGUGUUGCGUGGAUUGUUCGAAUACGCACCGGCUCCCUCCGUGCCCGCCGCCGCGGUCCUCCGUCGGGUGCCCGCGUUCUCCGGCUUUCUUGGGCGUCCCGGGCUCGUCGGCGGUUCGUCGCGUCCGGUGUGCCCGUCCCUCGCUUCCCGGUGGCUCCGCGCCGG
RNAcentral lists this ribosomal RNA (294 nucleotides) under uncultured bacterium. Its description in RNAcentral is "partial 16S ribosomal RNA". It matches the Rfam family "Bacterial small subunit ribosomal RNA", at positions 335 to 629 of the family's 1533-position model. The record is from RNAcentral.